UUUUUUUUUUUUUAAAUAUAAAUCUUUGUGUGUUUGUCUUUGAUAUGGAUUUGUUGAAUUGGAACUGUUUUACUUUAAUAGUGUAUUAGUUUAAUAGUAAUUUUAUUAAUUUAUUAGUAUAAUCAGUCCAUAAUUGCAUCAUUUUUUAUUUUAAAAAUGCUGAGAAAGGAUCCCGUUAUUUCACAAUCAAAAUGCAUCAUGAGCGUGUGGUUAGUUAUAAUCCAAAGAGGGUUUAUACUGGUGGAUUUAUCAGUUAUUUUGACUUUGGUAAUUCUGAGAUUUCUUGAAACAAGGAGCACCGAGAUUGCUCCCGUUGAAGUUUUCGCUCAAGCCUCAUCCUUGUAUUUGGUUAAGCUGUCCUUAUCGAGAGUUGUGUAUUUGAAUGCAUGCUAAAUAGUGAUUUUACUAAAAGUAGUACAUUUCUAUGGGUACCUCUAGUUUUUGAAACGAUUGUUUGAUCUCUGCCUUUUGCUUCUCGAUUCAAGAUCUCGUUCUGUUUCUUGGUCUUUGUCUACUUCUUUCUUAGGAGCGUAGUUCCCUCUCCUUGCCUUGGCGUACAGGUAGUUUCCACUGAUCUUUUGACUUGCGCACCCUAUCCUUGAGGAUAAAGAAGGACAUGAGUUGUGCGUUGUAUGCCCGCCUCCUCAAUGACUCUAUAGACACAACUCCCACUGACGUUAAGGGGCUUCUUUAGAUCCUUCUCCCUCAUUCUUUAGUUACAUACACCGUCAGUUCCUUCCUAUCCACCCGCGCACUUCCUUGUCGUGUAUCGGUGGGGUUUGUUUUUGGAAGAAGCUGGAGUCUAUCAAUUCUGGAGUUGGGUAAUAUGGCCAGGGAAGUGGGCUAUAGUGGAUGUAAUAUCUAUUAUUAUAAGGUUAAUGAUUUUGCUGGGUUGGAGUUGAUUAACACUGAUCAAGAUGUAAUGAGGUUGGACACAUUGGUGGAUGGAAGCAAAGUAGUAAAGGUUUAUGUAGGUUGUUUAGGAAUGAAUAUUAUAGGAACCCAAGUUAGUCAAGUAGGGUCAAGUGCAAAAAGAAGUCAGAGAAAUGGAGUACUUGUAGAUGUACAAGUAUCACAAGAGGAAGAAAGUAAUGACUAUGAUCGUAAUCCCUCAGACUCUUCCUCAUUUAAUAAGUCUGAGAAAUAUGAGGACAGUGACUAUCGAUUUUUUGACAAUGAUGCAUUGUAUGAGGCUAAUGUUGACAAAGAUGUAGAGUUUUUUAGUGUAAGAAGUAGUAAAAAUGUAAUGGCUGAAGGAGUUGAUGAGCUAGAAAGCCUUAGAAGCUUCUUUGAUGAGCUAAGAAGUAUUGACAGCUCAUCUGAUGAAUUCUCAUAGGACUAAAUACCCUAUUUUUAAUACUGAGGCUGAUAUGCACAAUUCUAAAUUCAAAUUUGGGAUGGAGUUUAAGACCCAUGAUCUAUUUAGGGAUGCUAUGAAGGAGUAUGCAAUUAAGUGGUGCAAACAUAUAACAUUUACCAAGAGUGACAAACAAAAGGUUAGGGCAGAGUGCAAAAGUGGUUGUCCUUGUGUUUGUUAUGCUUCAUAUGUAGAAGGUGAUGGGGUGUAUAAGAUCAAAACAUUUGUUAAUGAACACACUUCUAAUAGAUCUUUUGAUGUGGCACAUGUGAGUUCCAAAUGGGUUGUCAAGAGGCACUUUGAAAGAAUAAGGUUAAAUCCUACAUGGCUAAUUCCGUCAUUGGCAGACACAAUUGCAAAUGAGCAUAAUGUCAAGGUUGACUUACAAAAAGUGAGAAGGGCAAGAAAAUAGAUGUUGACAUUGGUAGAGGGUACUGCAGUUGAGCAAUUUGCACUGUUAUGGAGUUACAUUGAGGAGAUUAGGAGUCGUAAUCAUGGGACAACAGUGUGCAUGAAGGUGAAAUAAGUUCCAAAAGUUAACGAUGGGAGUAAUGCAGGGGUUUAUGAUGGGAGUAAUACAAAGUCAAAGUUCAAAAGGUUGUACUUGUGUUGGAGUCCAUUAUAGAAAGCUUUUAUGAAUGAUUGUAGGUCAAUGAUAGGUUAUGAAGCACGGGUGCGGGUACAUAUAUUGGUAUAGGUACGUCGAUACGGCAAGACCUAAAAAAAUAGGAUACAGGUACGUCUGGGGUACGCCAAUAAAUUUUUUUUAUUUUUAUUUUUUAUAAUUUAUAGUUUCAAAUUCAACCUAGAAUCAAAGUUCAAUACCAAAACUAAAAGGAAAAAUUAAAAAAUCAAAAGAGAAAUCAUAGUUUAACAAUACCAAUACCAAAGCAAAGUCCAUAAACUUUCAUUCUAAAAGCAAGCUAAGUAAAAUUUGAAAACUUGAAAUUUCAAUUUUUACUUCCAUCAACUUCAUCAUUGAAUAAUGCAUCUUUCAUUUCUGGUACAUCAAGUAAAAGAUUUGCAAUGUCAAGUAAAUCAGAACUCUUUAAUAAAUUAAAUGUAUCUCCACCAACGUUCCAUAGUUUAGUGUACCCCCCAUCUCGUACCCACGAAGUAUCCACAAAGUACCUAAUUGUCAAAUAAUGUAUAAAAAGUACCCGGAAUGUAUUUCGAAUAGCUAGUACGCAUGCAGUCCUAUCGGUACGAGUACUAGUACCCAGUAAGCACCUGAUACGAGUACGAUAACAUUUUUGGAGUACCCAUGCUUCAUAGGUGAUAGGAGUGGAUGAAUACCAUUUGAAGGGGUCACUUGGUGGUAUUCUCUUGACUGUAGUUGGGAUAGAUGCAAACAAUUGCAUAUUUCUAUUUGUUUAUGCAAUUGUUGAGAAAGAGAAGAAGAAAACAUGGUUGUGAUUUUAGAGUUACUAGGACAUGAUCUAAAUAUUGUAAAUUCUCAUUGUUAUACCUUUAUGAGUGAUAAACGUAAGAGUUUAAUUGAUGCAGUGGCUAAGUUGUUUCCAAAUGCUUCACAUAGGUUUUGUAUGAGGCAUUUGUACAACAAUUUUAAGGGUGAACAUAAGGGAUGGGUUCUGAAAAAUCCAUUGUGGAAGGUUGCUAGGGCAAGUACUGUUCUUGCAUUUACUAGAGUGAUAAAAGAGAUUAAAGAAUUUAAUUGUAAAGCAUACAAUUGGUUGGUACAACGACCACAAAUUCAUUGGAGUAGGAGCCACUUUAACACUUUUCCGAAGUGUGACAUUUUACUGAACAAUUUGUGUGAGUUCUUCAAUUCAAGUAUCUUGCAAGGUAGGAGUAAACCUGUGGUGACAAUUUUGGAGAAGAUUAGGUUGUUGUUAAUGGAAACAGUUCAAAAAAGAAGACAUGCAAUGCAAAGGCAUAAUGGUCCUAUAUGUCCUACGAUUCAGAAGAGGCUGGAGAAAAUGAAAGUGGAUGCAGCUGGACGGAUUCGUGGAUGGAUUCGUAGAUGGAAUUGCAAGAGCAAUUUGAAAUUGUAGGGACAUAUGGAGAGUAAUACAAUGUGGACUUGCAAGCUUGGACUUGUGGCUGCAGGAAGUGAGAUCUGUUAGGCAUUCCAUGUGCCCAUGUUGUGACUGUUGCAAACUAUUUGGGUCAAGAACCAGAAAAAUAUGUUCAUCAGUACUAUAAGGUGGAGACUUAUUUGAAGAUCUAUGACAACAUGUUGAGUCCUAUUAAUGGUAGAGAAAUGUGGCCAACAACUGAGUAUGCUAAGGUGCUGUCACCUGAUGUGAAGAAGAGAGCUGGGAGGCCUAAACUAAAUAAAAAAAGAGACUGAGGCACCAAUUGAAGGAACAAAGCUAGAAAGGCAGGGCACUCAAAUGACUUGUAAGAACUGUGGGAAGGUGGGACACAACAAGAGAACUUGCAAGGUGAAAGGAAUAUUCAACUACUUGUAACAAAAUAGCCAGCCUAAAUGGAGCCAACCUCAAGUGAGCCAAACUCAGGGGAGCCAAGCUCAGGGAAGCCAACUUCAGAGUCAAGUAACUGUAAAAGGAAGUGAGGUUAAAAGGAGAGUGGUAAAAGAAAGUUAGUCAACUCCAUCUUCAAUGAGUUUAACCACCACACCAAAGGAGGGUCAAAUGAUAUGGAGAGGCAAGCUAGUGUACAAUGCUAGUGCCCUUAAAACACAAUCCACUGUACAGCGGAAGGAUGCACCUAAAAAUUAAAGAAGUGUUUUUUUUUUUUUUUGUUUUUGGAUAGUAAUUAGUUUAGAUAGUAAUCGAUUUUUUGGAAAUCCAUAACAAAAUGAAAGUAUAGCUAUUUGGUGUUUCUUGUUUAUGGAUAUGUCUAGCAAUCAACACUGAACAUCACUACAACAUUAAGUCUUUUUGUACAUUUACUUUUUCUUUUUUGUUUGGAAUGGUUGCCCUAAACAUGUUAACUUUGUAAAGGUUGUGUUUAAAUUGUCAUAGACAAUUGUUAUUGGUUGCCCUGAACUUGUUUACUAUGAUGUUCUGUUUUUUGGAUGGGUGCCAUUUGAUAGAUGGAUGUCAUUUCAUGCUUUAUUGGUUUUCAUUUUUGUUUUUGGGUUUUAUGGAUGGAUGUUUUGGUUUCAUUUUUGUUUUUUGGUUUUGCGUAAAUGG
Molecule: long non-coding RNA, 4479 nt
Organism: Camellia sinensis
Lineage: Eukaryota; Viridiplantae; Streptophyta; Magnoliopsida; Ericales; Theaceae
Source: RefSeq, a predicted model, not a curated record